AAGCUAGGACGCGUGCUGGCGGCGACUACCCCGUUCUAUGGGAUAAGAUGCAUCUCUGGAGCAACCUGGCCGACAAAAAAAAGCAAGUGGACAGGAUCAUCGAGCAGUUACACAACAUGAAAUUCGAUGAGCUCACAUGGGACAUAUGUAGCUCGGUAUCCGUCUGUGAACCAGCUGGAGUUGGACACAAUCGCGCGAAGGGUGCUCAACGAAUUGGACAAUAUCCAAAAAUUAAUUUGAAUCAGACGAAGCCGCCAUUUUCAGAAAGGCCUACGUAAUUCUUCAGUAUGUCUUACGUGACCCACCCCGCAGAGUUUGAGGCGGAUCCUAUUAUGUUUGAGGCUCCCGAGGUGGGAGUUACGGAUCUCCUAACGCCGAAGCCCAAUAAGGAAUUUUGUUCAAGUUGGAGAGGGUUUUGAAGAGUUGGCCAGCGGGCAGGUGGUAAGAGGAACGAUGGCUUGAGAGAGCUAAAAUAUGAACAACAGCCUUGCAUCUCUGGCUAUAAAUUGUUCCCAAUCUCUGAGAAGUAGCCGUCAAACAAGAUGGGAAGACUGACAAGGCUAUAUCGACUCGGCUAUCGAUGCUGAUCAAGGAUAUAUAUGGGGCCGGAAAGGCUUUAAUGAAAUGCCGAAUGAAAAAAUGUCUCGUCAGCAUUAAUUGAUUCAUGAUUUUCAUUUAUUUGGAGAAAAAAAAAUCUGUAACUAUAAUGAAAAAAUUUUAAUUUAACUACAAAUAAAAUAGAAAUCAAUCUGUCCGUAUGACCCCAUGGGACAUACAUAUA
This is a long non-coding RNA of Drosophila pseudoobscura, 781 nucleotides long. RefSeq lists it as uncharacterized. The record is from RefSeq and is a predicted model, not a curated record. NCBI's taxonomy places the organism in Eukaryota, Metazoa, Arthropoda, Insecta, Diptera, Drosophilidae. The transcript is spliced from 3 exons.